UACGUAGGGUCCGAGCGUUGUCCGGAAUUACUGGGCGUAAAGAGCUCGUAGGUGGUUUGUCGCGUUGUUCGUGAAAACUCACAGCUCAACUGUGGGCGUGCGGGCGAUACGGGCAGACUGGAGUACUGCAGGGGAGACUGGAAUUCCUGGUGUAGCGGUGGAAUGCGCAGAUAUCAGGAGGAACACCGGUGGCGAAGGCGGGUCUCUGGGCCGAUACUGACGCUGAGGAGCGAAAGCGUGGGGAGCAAACAGG
RNAcentral lists this ribosomal RNA (253 nucleotides) under uncultured bacterium. RNAcentral's name for it is "partial 16S ribosomal RNA". It matches the Rfam family "Bacterial small subunit ribosomal RNA", at positions 524 to 776 of the family's 1533-position model. The record is from RNAcentral.